Molecule: ribosomal RNA, 234 nt
Filed under: uncultured bacterium
Lineage: Bacteria
Description: partial 16S ribosomal RNA
Rfam family: Bacterial small subunit ribosomal RNA
Source: RNAcentral
UGAGCAAUCUGCCCUUCUCAUCGGAAUAAGCGUUGGAAACGACGUCUAAUGCCGAAUACGACCUCCUUUCGCAUGAUCGGAGGUGGAAAGCUCCGGCGGAGAAGGAUGAGCUCGCGGCCUAUCGGCUAGUUGGUGUGGGUAAUGGCCCACCAAGGCGACGACGGGUAGCCGGCCUGAGAGGGUGACCCGGCCACACUGGGACUGAGACACGGCCCAGACUCCGUACGGGAGCAG